GGCAAGUGUGAAUGUGUAGCCACUUUGAGAAGAAGCCACCUUAUUGGAUCUCCAUGACUGGCUUUGGACAUUGCAGCUGGGGCGUGGUGGUGUAGGUGAGAAUUGACCAUUGGGUCAGUAAGAAAAAAAAUCACCACCUGCAGCUUUCGCCACCAAUUCAUGGUUCAAAUCCAUAAAGUAAAUAAGAAUGAAAUCAAGUGCCUUAUUAGCAAGAAUCGCACUAAAGAUCUCCCAAUUACCAGAUGUAAAUGAAAACCAGAUGCUCUUGGAAAUAAAAUAUUCCAUCUUGAAUGCCUGCAAGGACAUAUGAUGCUUCCUGACCUGCUCGGUAUUUUCAGCGUUUUCCUUUAUUUCAGAAUUCCUGCAUCUGCAAGUUUUAUUUUUGCAUUUGAAAUAGAUUCUACGUAGCCAUAAAUAUCUCUUUUCUCAUUAUUUCUUGUAUCCAGUUAAUGGGCAUCUUCAUCUUCUUCAAGUGACUGAUCCGAUUAUAUGAUUUAGGAAUAUGGCCUCUACA
Amblyraja radiata (thorny skate) is the source of this 514-nucleotide long non-coding RNA. RefSeq lists it as uncharacterized. NCBI's taxonomy places the organism in Eukaryota, Metazoa, Chordata, Chondrichthyes, Rajiformes, Rajidae. The record is from RefSeq and is a predicted model, not a curated record. The transcript is spliced from 3 exons.